This 216-nucleotide ribosomal RNA is filed under the name Glomeromycotina sp. Its description in RNAcentral is "partial small subunit ribosomal RNA". The stretch from base 40 to 216 matches the Rfam family "Eukaryotic small subunit ribosomal RNA", at positions 686 to 864 of the family's 1831-position model. Lineage: Eukaryota; Fungi; Glomeromycota. The record is from RNAcentral.
GGGUCAGUAGGUUGGUCGUGCCACCGGUACGUACUGGUCUCACUGAUUCCUCCUUCCUGAAGAACCGUAAUGCCAUUAAUUUGGUGUUGCGGGGAAACAGGACUGCUACUUUGAAAAAAUUAGAGUGUUUAAAGCAAACUAACGCUUGAAUACAUUAGCAUGGAAUAAUGAAAUAGGACGAUCGAUCCUAUUUUGUUGGUUUCUAGGAUUGACGUA